ACGUAGGAGACGAGCGUUGUCCGGAGUUACUGGGCGUAAAGGGUGCGCAGGCGGCCUGGCGCGUCGCGAGUGAAAUCUCCCGGCUCAACUGGGAGGGUGGUCGCGAGACGGCUGGGCUUGAGGCUCGGAGAGGGGCGUGGAAUUCCGGGUGGAGCGGUGAAAUGCAUAGAGAUCCGGAGGAACACCGACGGCGUAGGCAGCGCCCUAGACGAGACCUGACGCUGAGGCACGAAAGCGCGGGGAGCGAACAGGAUUAGAUACCCUGGUAGUCCGCGCCGUAAACGAUGUCCACCAGGUGUUGGGGGUAUCGACCCCUCCAGCGCCGCAGCUAACGUGAUGAGUGGACCGCCUGGGGAGUACGGCCGCAAGGUUA
This 373-nucleotide ribosomal RNA is filed under the name uncultured bacterium. RNAcentral's name for it is "bacterial SSU rRNA". It matches the Rfam family "Bacterial small subunit ribosomal RNA", at positions 525 to 896 of the family's 1533-position model. The record is from RNAcentral.